Molecule: long non-coding RNA, 5024 nt
Filed under: Capsicum annuum
Lineage: Eukaryota; Viridiplantae; Streptophyta; Magnoliopsida; Solanales; Solanaceae
Description: long non-coding RNA (CANN_LNC010420)
Source: RNAcentral
GCGAUGCAAAACUUUCAAAUCACUUGUCAUUCGUGCUGUAAACCCACUAAAUUCCCAAUUAAACCCCAAAUUAAAAUUGGGUCAACCAACCUAGUUUUCCAAUUUAUAAGAAAUCAACACCCUAAAUCCUCAUUAUUCUUUUAUUUUGAGCCUUAUCCGAGCUGCUUACCCUUUUCUUGUACUGAAAGUUGCGCCCCAAUAUAAAUCUACAAGACUUUUCCUCUCUUUUUCUUCUAGCACUUCACUUUAAGGUUUGUUUUCUUUUUUUCUUUCUCUUUUUUGGGUUCAAAGAUCAUGUAUUGUUAAUAACCAAAAAGCUAUCUUUCUAAAGACGGAUAGAAACUCACCAUCUAUCUUCUUAAUCUAACACUAUACAUCAAUCUAGAUAUCAAAUACCUAUAGCACUGCAAAGAAUACAUACAUCAGUUUUAUCAUUCUACUCCUAAGGAAAGUAAUUUAGCUUGCUCAAUAAAUUCCUCCAGGAUGCUCUAUCUCUUCCUUGAAUGUGUAAGUGCAUUACUAUGCCAUAAAAUAUGUGAUUAUCCAUUGCUUGUCCAUUAUUGAAUCUCAAUGUAUUCCUAUCAAGCCAUAUACUAUAGAUAAACAUUGCAAAUGUGCCACAAAUGGACUCAACAUAAGCUCAUUUCUUCUUUGGUACUGUGCAUAUCCAUUUUAUUUUCUACUGCCAUGUUAUACUGGUUCUUCUAAUUUGCAGCCAAUUUAACAUUUCUCUCCACACCUGGUUGCUAUAAGUGCAACUGAAGAACAGGUGGUCAAAAGACUCUAUAUCUUUAUCACAAAAGAUGCAAUUCAUUGGUACUUGGAUUUCUAUCUUUUGAAGCCUCACUACAUUUACCAACCUUUGCUGUACUGCCAUCCAUAACAUGAACUUAAACCUUGGGUGCACUUGAUUUUGUAAGGUUAUAUUCUUCCAUGGAACCUUAGGUAGUUGAGACAUCAUGGUUUGGUAUGCUUGUUUAAUCUUGAACUUGCUACUUUGCACCAUCUUUUCCAGGAAAUACUGAAUUGAGCCUUGGUAUUAUUGCUGUAAAAUCACCACUUGUCUAUUAUCUAUAAUUUUUUUCACCGCCCAAGCUGUAGUUUUAGGACUCGUUACCAUUUCCAAUCCAUUACUAUUGAUAUAGUGAUAGUGCACUUGAUUCAUAAUGUGUCUUUCUUCAUAGAUAUAGCCCACAGGUGCUUCAGAAUAGCUGCUUUGUUCCAUCUUUUGAUAUCAAUUACAUUCAGUCCACCUGUUAAACCUGGACAACAUAUUCUUUCCCAUGCCACUAUUUUCUUCCUUGAUAUAUCACCUUUACCUAUCCAGAGAAAGGUUCUACACACUGCUUCUGGCAUCUUGAUCACUUUUUGUGGUAGUACAAAAAUUUAUGUCCAAUAACUUUGCAUUCAAAAAAAUACAAACUUGACGAGCUGAAUUCUUCUAGAGUAUGAUAGUAACUUAGCUGACCAGUAGUUUAUCUGGGCUGUAAACUUCUCAACUAGUGGUAGGUAUUGGGGUACUGUUAGCUUUUUGGUGGAAAGAUGAACCCCUGAGUACUUGAAUGGGAGUUUUUCAUCCACAUAACCCAAUCAUUUUAUAAUAUAUAUUUCCAAGCUACUAGUAGUACCUAUUAUAUAGAUUGAGCUCUUCUCCUGAUUAGGUCUCAGACCAGAUGCUUUAGAGAAUUUUCAAAAGUUAUCUUGUAUCAAGAUGGUAGAGGUUAAAUAGGCCUUACAAAACAUAUGUAGGUCAUUAUCAAAAUGCAUAUGUAUCACUCCAAAUAUCUUUCAUCUAGGAUGGAAGUGAAAUGGGUUAUUGAGCACCAACUGUGUCAAUUCCCUAUGCAAGUUUUCCAUUGUUAUAACAAAGAGAUAGGGAGACAUGGGGUCCCCUUGCCUCAGUCGUCUCUUAGCUUGAAAUGGUUGUGUUAGUCCACCAUUUAGCAUUAAUGAAUAAGGGAUUGUUGACACAUAUUCCAUUAUCCAGUUAAUGAACUUUUAAGGAAACCUUAGUUCUGUCAGCAUAUCUCUUAAAAACUGCCACUCUAGUGUAUCAUAUACUUUCCUCGUAUCCACUUUUAGUAUACACCUAAGUGAUAUCCAUUUUCUUGUGUAGCUUUUAAAUUACUCAUGACUCAGCAGUAUAUUAUCAGAGAUGAUCCUCCCUUCACAAAAGCUGAUUGGGACAUUUCUAUCAAUCCAUUUAUUACCUUCUGCAUCUUGUUAGUGAGAAUUUCGGCAACCAGUUUGUAUAGAGUGGAAAAACAAACAAUGGGUCUAUAAUCCUUCACCUUAAUAGGUGAAGAAAAUUUUGGAAUAAAGUUAUGGAAGUGCAUUUCUAGGCUUUCAUUAUCUUACCCUCAGAAAAGAACUACUGUACAGCUCAUACGCACUCGCCUUCACCUCUUCCUAGUUGCUGUUGAAAAACUCAAUAGGGUAACCAUCUAUUCCAGGACUUUUGUCUAGUUGUAUGCCUUUGACUGUAUGAUAAAUAUCCUCUACACUAACUUAUUGUAUAUACAUGAAUUAUUGGUUCCUGUCAAGACAUGGACCUGCUUUUGAUCACUAAUGCAUUUAGAUAAGGCAAUUCCUCAACACUACCCCCUUGAGCAAUGUAAAGAAUGACACAAAUUCCAUUUUCACUUUCUUAGGGUUAGUCAACUUUACUCCAUUCUCAGUAUAUAUAGCAAUGAUAGAAUUGUGAGUUGUUCUGAUCAUUACUUGAUCAUGAAAGUACUUAGUAUUAGCAUCCUUACUAUCAAUCAAACACACUCUUGAUUUCUGUCAUAGUACCUUCUCCUCAAUGAGACUCUAUUUUUAUAUUUCUCUUAAUAUUGCCUCCCCUUGCUCAAUUAAAGUUGGCUUGAAUAAUUGGUUAUUAAUUUGAGUUUGUACAAUCUCUAGUUGUUACCUAGCCUUAUUGAGCUUCUAUGCAUAUGAGGCCAUGAAGAUAUUCAAUUCCUGUAACUCCACUUUUAGUUUCUUCAGUUUGUUCCACAAUCCUUGCAUUGCGUUUCCACUUGUUGAUCUCUGCCAAAUUGUAAUACCCCGGGAAAUUUUUUGCUGAAAUUUUAUGCGUAAAUGUGUUGGUUUCUAUCUUCUAGAAUGAAUUAUAAAUUUUUUCAUGCGGAAUGUAAUAGAUUAUGACCCACCAUUGCGUAGAGUAUCGAAUAAGAUUUCCAACGAUAUGUGGAUCAUCCAAAACGGACACCCGAGCGAUAAGUUAUGAACAUUUCGAUUGAACUGUGAAUAGUAGUGAACAGUAAAACACGCAGGAAAAAGUACUGAGGCCUGACAUAUUUUUCAUCCAGCUUAAAACGAUCAUAAAUCCUUACACAUAAUGAUUUGGGUGAUCUACUAUAUAUAUCAACGGAAAGCUAUGCGAGUCCUCUUUCCAAUGAAAUUGGUUUCAUUCAAUUUGUCUAUUGGAGCAAAAAGUUAUUGCCGAUCUACUUCAACCUACCGAAAGAAAAUUUUUGGGUCAACUUCGAAUGAUCAUAACUCUUCGUACACAAUGAUAUGAGUGAGAUACUAUAUAUCAAUGGAAAUAUAUGAGAUUCCUCUUUCUAAUGAAAUUGGUUUCAUCCAAUUUUGAUAUCGGAGUAAAACGUUAUGGUCGAUCUACUUCAGACUAUCAAAACAGUCCAUCAAAAGACAGAUUCGAGAAUUAUUUGAUUUUUAGGGGUGUUUUGGUCAUCCCCCCUCACCCAAAAUCCAUCCAAACCCUAUAUUAAAGCCUAUUAGAAGCAUUAUAUGUUAUAUUUCAUCAAAUUCCCUAAAAAAACCCUAAGCUCCUACAUCCAACUUCAAGAACCUCCAAAGUUCACCAUUAAACCUGCAAAUUUAUUCAAGAUUCCAAGUUCUUAGUUCAAGAACUCCAAGAACCAUCAUUUAAAGGCACGAUUAACAUCUCAAAAAUGAGUAUCGAUCUAAAGUUCAUCAUUCAAGGUAUGUGGGGUUUUUCAACAAGAACUUUCUUUCGUUCUUGUGCCAAAAAGUAAUUUUCUUUACAAAGGCAUGAUUUUUAUUUGAUUUUUACGAAUUUGAAGCAUGAACCCAUAUCUUAUGAUGAUUAUUAUGAAAUCUUGUUGUUUAUGAUUUUGAAAGAUGAAUUUACAUGUGUGGAGAUAUAAAGAAUGAAUCUUGAAGGAUAUUUAUCAUGAUUUUGAUAUUUGGGUCGUGAAUCCCCAUUGGAAAUUGUAUUUUUUGAGAAAGUGUGUGUUAUAAGCACGUUGAUGUUGAAUAUUUGAGAUAUUUUGAAUGAUGUGACCUUUUGGUCUUAAUGGAGUUGUUUUGAACUCGAGUGUGAAAGAAAUUCACAGCGUGGUUGAUUUUGAUAGAUGGGAAGCAUGAUGGAUCCCGAGGUAUAUUUAUAUAUUACUAAAAUUGUUUUGUUGUGGAUUGUCUUUUAAAUGAUUUGAGCUAAGUCUGAGAGAAAUCAUCAGCAUCGAGUGGAAGGUAUAAAGCGGCCUUACUUCCCUAGAACUACGUGCACCCAUAGGAGUAAGCCUGAGGCUGAUUUAUAUAGUGAUCACUAGUUUGUGUGGAUUUGAUAUCGAUAGUCCUACUAUGAUGGAAAGGAUAGGACGUCUCUCCCCAACGUGGGUCGUACGUUGGACUCCAUGUGGCUCACAUGGUUUAUGUCAGUUAUAGGAUCUCCCAGUGUGUGUGUGUUUCCUUGUGUCUAUGGUGAAUGGUGAAGUGAUUUGAAAGUGGAAUUGUGAAAGUUAUUCUUUCGAAAGAUUUAAAUGAUAUUUACAUUAUGAGAAUUGAUAUUCUUGAUGAACUGAAAGUGAUUGACAAAUUAUAUGAUGACUCACAUGUGUUAUUGUACUUAUUUCAUCCUCUCAUGAUUAUGAUGAUUUUCUUCGAGCUAUGUGAGUCUUUCAUACAUCCUGCAUAUUUCUUAUAAAUAUUUAUGAUGAUGAUGUUUAUACAGCUGCAUACACGCCCCAUAUACUCGGUUCCUUUCCAUGGUACUAACCCACAUCUUCGGAUGUGGGCUGCAUUUUCUCAAAAUAUAG